This 1053-nucleotide ribosomal RNA is filed under the name Leotiomycetes sp. genotype 120. RNAcentral describes it as "eukaryotic LSU rRNA". The stretch from base 456 to 1053 matches the Rfam family "Eukaryotic large subunit ribosomal RNA", at positions 1 to 601 of the family's 3401-position model. Lineage: Eukaryota; Fungi; Ascomycota; Leotiomycetes. The record is from RNAcentral. RNAcentral also lists the same sequence under 1 other name.
GAUCAUUAAUGAGAUCAUGCCCUUCGGGGUAGACCUCCCACCCCCUGUUUACCGUACCCGUUGCUUUGGCGGUCCCGUCGCGAGACGGGCCGCCAGAGGACCUUCAAACCCGUAUUAUCAAUGUCGUCUGAGUACUAUACAAUAGUUAAAACUUUCAACAACGGAUCUCUUGGUUCUGGCAUCGAUGAAGAACGCAGCGAAAUGCGAUAAGUAAUGUGAAUUGCAGAAUUCAGUGAAUCAUCGAAUCUUUGAACGCACAUUGCGCCCCCUGGUAUUCCGGGGGGCAUGCCUGUUCGAGCGUCAUUACAACCCUCAAGCUCUGCUUGGUCUUGGGCGUCACCCCCCCGGGUGCGCCUUAAAAUCAGUGGCGGUGCCGUCUGGCUUCAAGCGUAGUAUUACUCCUCGCUUGGGAGCCCGGGCGUGCGUCUUGCCAAAACCCCAUACUUCUUUUAGGUUGACCUCGGAUCAGGUAGGGAUACCCGCUGAACUUAAGCAUAUCAAUAAGCGGAGGAAAAGAAACCAACAGGGAUUGCCUCAGUAACGGCGAGUGAAGCGGCAACAGCUCAAAUUUGAAAUCUGGCCCCCUCGGGGCCCGAGUUGUAAUUUGUAGAGGAUGUUUCGGGUGUGGCUCCGGUCUAAGUUCCUUGGAACAGGACGUCAUAGAGGGUGAGAAUCCCGUAUGUGACUGGCAGCCUACGCCCAUGUGAAGCUCCUUCGACGAGUCGAGUUGUUUGGGAAUGCAGCUCAAAAUGGGUGGUAAAUUUCAUCUAAAGCUAAAUAUUGGCCAGAGACCGAUAGCGCACAAGUAGAGUGAUCGAAAGAUGAAAAGCACUUUGGAAAGAGAGUUAAACAGUACGUGAAAUUGUUGAAAGGGAAGCGCUUGCAACCAGACUUGCGUGCGGCCGAUCAUCCGGUGUUCUCACCGGUGCACUCGGCCGUGCUCAGGCCAGCAUCGGUUUCGGCGGCUGGAUAAAGGCCAUGGGAAUGUAGCUUCUCUCGGGGAGUGUUAUAGCCCGUGGUGCAAUGCAGCCCGCUGGGACCGAGGACCGCGCU